GUUGGGCUUGUUAAAAAGACCUCUUGAGAUAAGUCCACUUUGGUUGUGAGUCGAAGCGACACUGCACGUUUUCUGAUUAUUUAUUUGCUCCCUACAGUCUCACUCAAAGGUUUACUCUUUAAGGCGCAGCAGGAAUAAUGCAGAUAGAAGCUCUGAAAGCUACACAUGGCCCUCCAGACACUACUCAGGACCAUAAACCCACCUGCACCUUGUUAUGUUAUGUUAAUGGGAAACAAUCUUACACUUUGGGUUUUACUUAACAAUUGUCAAUGCAUACCUACUGUAUAUAUUAAAAAUCAGAUCAGACAUUAUAUUCUAAGGGAGAUUGUAUGAAGUCUGUAUAAUGUAAUUAAAGGAUAAUCAGACACAGCAGCUUACAUGGUCUUACUUCAUCUUUUAUUAGACAUUGUCAUGCAAAGCAUCAUAGCCAAUUUCAUGAAAACAUCCUCUUUAUGAGUAUUUAACAGCUGUUGAAGAGCCAGUGACUGUCUCUCACGGAUGUGCAACAUGUGGGCUUUUUAGUCUCCUUUCAUCACUCAAACAUCUUAAUUCACCAACCACAACUGACAGCGCUUUCAUUUCCUUUUCCACGGCCCGCCCCCAAACACGCACGCCGCUUGUCGUGUCCCACCCCGCCUCCGGCUGUAUCCGCGCCGGAGCCGUUGUCGGGGUUUUUGCUCCAUCUGAAGCGUAAUCGAAUCCUUCCCCCUUGUAGCAUUGAGGCCACAGCAACACGGAGGUUCCUAAGCACAUCAGAAACCUCGCACAUGAGUCCGUGCCUUGUCUCAGUGACAUGGUUUACCAUGAUCCAGUGUUUGUCUCCGGGAAAAGGUCUCGGCGAUUACACGGAGGGGGUGUAGCCCCCGGAGGCACAGUUCCUCAUUUGGAGGUGUCUCUCAUGAACACACUCGGAUGCUGGAACACGCGGUCAGCAGAGGUAGGCUACCGUUGUCACUGUGUAUCCUCUUCCAACCACUCAUUCCCUUCCACCAGGCUGCUUCGUGUCUCGGGCCGAAGGUCCGGCCGAUUUAGGCACCCCCGCCUCCCCCGAGCCAACCCUGUGCCAUAUGCAAUGGCACACGAGGGAUUAAAAGAUAAAUUAAGUCCUCAGUAAGACACAGAGAAGGACGAGCCGGAAACACUCUUACACAAACCCCCCCCGGCCCCCACACCCCUCCGUGCCGCGUCUGAAUGGUGUCUUCCAGCCAGCAAUAAUACUGUCCUGCUCCUCGUAAAGUCUGCUGGGGAUUAUCGUCUUUCAAAAUGUAAAACACUGACGUUUGUUCGUGCGCUCUACUGCUUCUGAUUUGCAGGCUUGUUACUUAAAAAUCACAAAGCGCUGUCUUGUGGGAUCAAAGUGCAGCGUUUUUAUAAAAAGGCCCAGUCAGAGGGACCUGAAUAAGUGCCCAGUUAACUCCCAUCGAUGGUGUGAACAUGCAUUCCAUUUGUUCUGAUUAUUGCUUCCUCUACAGCAAACCUUAUAGAACCCGAGAGCUGCAAUUCUUUCCCCCACAUGACGAGACGUAGACCUCUCUGGUGUCGUGAUCGACAUCUUCAGCGGCAAGCCUACAGAAACAGUUUUUCCACUUUUAUUGUGAGGAGGUUGACUGUACAAUUUAGGAGCUUUGUCCAUAAUGCGAUGUUUUGAUCAAACAGUGUUUCACCUUUAAGUUGCGUUGAAGACGAAUACAUUCAAGGGACUAAAAUGAAAAGGAAAUUAAGAUUUUUUUUUUUCUCCUUAAUUAUGGCUGGAAAGUCAUUUUUUAGGUAUGAAGUUUUAGACCUUGGAUAUUCCAGGUAGCUUUUAUCCAAGUUUAUAUUAAAGCUCGACGCACCGGCUUGUUUGUCACAUCAAACCAUCCCAAAAGCCGUCAAACUGUUUUAAAAAUGCUGAAACCUUGAGAAAAAUACCAGGCAGGUAACUGGAUAAAACAUCGGUCAAACUGUUGCCAAGGCCAUGAGAGAAAACAUCUUUUCAGUGGAAAAACACCUUUAGUGUUGACUUGAACUCUCCCACUUGCUGCGGAGAACGAUGAUCGGUCCGAACGAGUGUGGUCCCGACACGUACGCAUGACUUGACGCCUGAUAAGAUGCAUUUUCGUGUGAUCUUGUGGCUCUGUGAUUAUUACAAGAAAAGAAACAACUGCAGUGCGUGGCCAUUUGUUCAACUUUGCAAUAGCUGCUAAGGUCAUUGUUUAUAUUGUCAAAACAGUUAACAUUUACAGUAUAUAUAUUUUUUUACCUGUGAUUUUAGAGAUGAUGUUUGGGUGAUUUCAACAGUUCAUUCUUCAGGAUUUCAAAUUUUACUGCUAAUUAAAGAAAAUGUGCGCAAUAUGAACCCUAACGUUUCACUAUUUACAAUGAAACGUGCUGAUGCAAAGUGGUAUCUGUCAGUGGAGCACGGUGACCUGGGUGAAGUGGUGAAGUGGCUCACGUGGCUAUUUAGCGAACACCCAUACAUUGAUCUGCGGAAAUCAGUCCCUCCAUCGUUUCUUCCCAGAAGUGUCUCAACCUUCACAGGACGCACUAAUGACGGACUUAAGCCAGUCAUCUGUCUCUGCCCUGCCUGAUGGCCAUGGGGCACAGCGGGAGGCGUGUGUGUGUGUGUGUGUGUGUGUGCGUGUGUGCGUGUGUGUGUGUCAGUGGGUUACAGUAAUGUGGCUGGAGAGCACGGGGAAAGUGACAGAUGGUGACAGAGUUAUGGGGGAAAGGAUUGUGUGUCACUGGGUUGGCGUGGUGGGGGAAAAGGGGUUGGGGGGGGGGGGCGUGCCAGUAUUAAUGUGUGUGCCUGUUUGUGGGAUUAGUGUGUUUGUAUGUUCAUAUAAACUGUAAAUAUGUGCCUGUUAGCGUGUGUGCCGUGGAGGGAUCCGUGCCACUGAAAGGCUCUUAGACCGUACACGCGGCCGCACGUCUCUCUCAUCAUCCUCCAGGCUCUCGUCCACGCUCUCUUCCCUCCUUCGGGACGCCUUUUUUUUUUCUGGGACACCUUGGGGCAACAACCCCUCAUCCCCCCACCAUCGCCAUGAAGUGGCUGGCGUCCGUGCGCUCCAUGUUAGCCGGGGGCAGCCGUAGUGCCCCCGCCACCCCGGCUGCCAGCCCCACUAUGUCCUCCAAGGCAGACCAGCACGCCAAGCAGGUAAGCUGGAAGGACCUGAGCUCAGAGCGUCUUCUGUCCGCUUCUUAGUCCGUCUGCUUUCUUGAGGGAUUCCCAAUCCACUCUUUACGCAGUUUUUGUGAUCCUCUCCGGGCGUGUAGUCUCGUCGUUGAUUGCCUGUAGUGAUUUUUACAAUCCGUCUAAUUGCACUUUCGAUCAGAGGAGAAGGAGUGCUGCGCUGAGCGGAAGAAGCAGUGCUUCGGUGUGUUAGCGUGUGCAUGUGACCUGCUCAAAAUCAACGAGCAGCAAGCAGCGAGUUUAUUUUUCUUGGACGUCCUGCUUCCCCUUUGCUUCCAGUAAACCUGAGUCAGUGCUUCACCGUGCUAUUGUGUGGAAAGAGCUGCAACCCUUUCCUCCUGCUGCAAACCUCCCAUUAUAUCCAAGCAUAAUCCAAAUAAUCAGCUCUGUGUUCUCAAGGCCGGCUCAUGAAUCCACGGAUAUACUGUUGGGAAGGAAGUGCGCAGCAAUGUUGGGGAAUAAUGGCUCGUCGUGUGUGCGUGUGUUUGUGUGGGGCCGCAGUAGUGGUAUUAAUCCCUCACAAUGACCCCAUGCUGCACUGAUCCUGCAACUAUCCAACAUCCCUGCGAGUCCCCUGCUGCCUGAUCCUUUUACUUAAGCCCACACUCAAAUCUGAAAAUGCUGCAGAGUCACUGCACACCGAUGAGUGACGCCUAAACAUUGUCCUUUCUAAACUUUGAAUAGGUCUUGUUCCUAAUGCGCCUACAAUUACAGCUAUUUGAAAGCCGCUUCGGUCCACUGUGUGUCCACAGUGUUCAGUUCAUUUGGUGCAGCCUGAUCCAAGCCGGAUGACACUAAUGUCUGACUGAAGAAUGUUUGUGGUUCGUUAGUCUCAUACUUUGGACAUCAACAUCUGGAGCAUUCACACCUUUUAUUUGUCCCUCCAAAGUGGGCACAGAAGUGGUAGGGUGGUUUGUUGCGAUAAAGCAGAUAUUUGAAUUGUGGAGGAGCGAGCCAAGUCCUUCUGCAAUGAGCCCAGGGACUCGCUGCAACGGCUUGGGAACGGCUAAAAGAAGCUCUCAAACUGACUUUGCCCGUGGAUUGCUCCUUUUCACCGCGGCUUCCGUGGUUAGCUGGCACUCGCUCGUGUUGAAAAUGUUCAGACUACCCAGCGGAGUGAUUACUUCCUCGUCCGUGGACCAGCAAGAUUUUGGUGUGUGUGUGUGUGUGUGUGGGUGGGGGGGGGGGUCACGGAGUCAGAACUUUUCCUUUCCAGCCUAAUAGCAGAUAAUGAGGGCUGAGCAGUAUUGAAUCACCUCAUAUUUACGGCGGGAAUGUCUCUGACCGAGGCUCGGUGAUUGAUGACCGGGUAGCGCCCAAUCAUCCAGUGACCGGGGCUGGGAUGGCGUGUCUUUUCUCAAACAACCGCAGACGGUGACAGAGGGUAGUCAAGAGAGUGCCAGGUACAAACUGAAGCAUUUCCUGUCCACAACUUAGCUGUUAAACUCAUUCUCCCCAGAUGCAUUUGUUUAGAAUCACAAGCAUCAGCAACUAGGAUAAAGUAGAAGAGAGGAGAAGAAAACAAGGCUCAUCUUCUAGAGCGACAGAGGGGAGAGAGAAAAAAAGAUGUAGGUGAGAAAUGAAGAAAGGACACAAACCAAUGACUUUGCGUUGCCCCUUUGAUUCUUUUAUCAGACCGCUGGCAGAUAAGAGGGGAAGUCCCCAACAGCUGCGUGAUGACCAGAGCAGGCGAUGAUGAACCAUGAAUGACUCACAGCUAUUAGCACCUCAGCGUAUUCCUCCUCCCAUCCUUCUCCUCAGGCCUCUCGGAUCAAUACGGUAGCACCUCGUAAUGGUUGUAAGUGGCUGUUGCACUUUAUUCCUCAAGGGCAUGUGCUACUUGACCCCUACGGUUAAAUGUGCCUAUUUUCUUUGCCUAUUAAUACCAAAUGGCUAUCAUUACUCUGUCCUGCUAACUUUUUAAUGGAAUAUGAAAUAUGCAAACUAGAAAUGUUUCUUUGGACGAGCCAGAUUUCAGGGGUACAGGAAUUCUUUGCACUAUAGUGGCAUGAAGAGGCCUGCACGAGUAAAGCUGACUUUGAUUCACUUCAGGGACUUCUACUGUUACUGUCUGCCAUUAGAUGAGCAUCAGAUGGACGUGUGUAGCCAACCAUUGGAAGGGCAACAUGUCUUAUCAUGUCACUGCUUGCUGAACUAAUGCUUCCAUUGUGUCUGUUCAGACAGACCAGGGGUCAGUGACCUCCCCCGCUCUGCCUCUCUCUCACAACUAGUAGCUGCUUCUGCGCCCCAUCGCUCCAUCUGCCGUCUCGAUUCUCCCUGCCCUCACCCGCUUGCUCUUCCUUCCCACCUCUUGUGAAUAGUGAAUGGGAAAAAGGGUAACAUUAAAGGCUAUAUAAUGCCACACUAACAUUCAUUUGGGACCAAAUUUUAACAGGUCGGAGGUUCGUCGUGCUCUGUGAAUCCAUUGACUUUCACAGACUUUCCAUCUCAGUCUGCCUCAAGUGUGACUUCAUCUCUCUUUCUGGAUGUGAAGUGACUGUGCUGGCCCUGUCAAGCCCCAUUGACUUACCUAUUAACCUCUCUCUUUUUCUCUUUACGUCUAGCAUCCCCUCCUCUUUAAUUUCCUCCUGCUAUUCUUUCUCUCCCUCCAUCGCUUAGUCUCAAGAUCCGUCUCUCACUCUCGUCACGGCUGUGUGGUGUCACUCUUUCUCCUCUUCUCCGCCUCCCUCUUCUCCACUCAGUGCUGCUGGUGUGACUACUACUUAUUGGCUAAAGGAGGCAAAGGCGUGUGAGCGCUUAUAGAUACACACUCAUUAUAUAGGAUUUUGGAAAAACAUAAUACAUGGUUAGACAUGUAUUUAGUUUAAAUGACAAUUAAUGAUACAAAUUAAUUUAAUCAGAGGAAUGAACAUUGAGAGAGGUUUCGACAUUUGUUGUUACGGUUCUGCUGGUAGACGUCAAUCCAUGGUCUCUCUCCUUCGUGCACUCUCUUUUCAGGCUUAAAAAUUCAUCAAAAACUUGACAGGUCCCAUCCCACAUAUAGAGUGUCUGCUUGUGAGAGGCAUAUGAGAAGACGGAGCGAGGCGGAAUGGGCGUGAGAGUGGGGGUCAGGGGGCGUUACGCAGUGUGUUAUUUCUGGGAUAAUCCCACGCUGGGAGCCUGUCAGUGAGCCGCCCGGGUGCGGUAUCUCCCACCCUUCCCGAUUGGUGGAGCGGUGGACUUUCGGCUGUUCCUCACAUCCGCCUCUGACUGCUGAAUCAUAUCUCUCUCCUCCACAUUCUCCUCCUGCACAGACCUUAGUGUGCCCCUCACCUUGGAAGACUUUCUACCUCUCUGUUAGCUCUCUUUUCUUCCCCCCACAUUGGUCUUCAAGAGUUGAAGUGAGACGUUUCUCUUAACUGCUUCUCAAACUUCCUGAAGAGUUUGAAAGAAGUUUCUUCAUUCAAACUAAUUUCCAUAGUUUGGGCUGCCAUCUGUUAUUUUAGUUAGAAUUACAUCACAUGGGUUGUGAUUACAUUACAAAUACAAAGAGACACUCAUAACGAUAUCAAACCAACCCCCAAUUUACUGGAAGAAACAAAAUGACUACCCAACCCAGCUGUAAACUUCUUCUCCUGCACGAGUGAGAUAUUAAAUGCAGUACCUUGUAACACAUUGUAGUGACCCUGUUGAGUAAGUGUGUGUGUUUGGUCCAUGGGUCACGCCCCCUCCCUUCCCCCCUCCCAAUCACGGGGAGUCACUUGACGUGCCAGGGAGGGGGCGGCCAGUCAUUCGGGGACAUCAGGGGAGGCAUGUGUUCAUCUGUUUUGGGCUAGUCAGCUAGUCAAGUUGGUUAGGAGAGUUCCGGUUAGUUAGAUGUGAGGACAGCAAACCAAAAACCGAUAACGACCAUUCGUCUCUGCGUCGUGAGUGAGACGCUAUUAUAUCAUUUGCGAAUCAGAAAUACCUUGAAAUGUGCUCAGCUGAACUCAUCAGCCGGUGAAACCAGUCCGCUAAAACUAGCACCCUGGCUAGCUAGCUAGCACAUGUUUCGGUCCAAAGGCGCAUUCAUAAGUUCGCGACCUAAGAAGACACUACUUGAUCCCACCUCAAUUUUGACUCUUUUCUUAUUUUCUGAGGAAAAUUAAUUUCUGCCCCUUUUAUGUUUUAGCUUUAAAAUGACUAAAACGUCUCACACCAUCGCAAACCUAAAAAGAAGCCAAACUAUUCCCAGCAGUCAGCUCGAGUCCAACCACAAAUGCCACACUUCUUUCUAGGGGGAGUUUGCCGGUGCAGACAGGUUCUAUUCAAACGGCAUGCUGUGUUUUCUCGUGGGACGUACGUACACUCUGUCCCGUGAUAGCUGGCUGACUGAGUCAGUCAGUCAAAAAUACAAAAAUAAAACUCAAGCUGUAAUAAACUGUAAUUGUCCUUUAAUUUUGCAGCAUGUAAUUAUAUCGCAAGGCGCUCUGAGGGAGCCUGUGUUCUGAACCUUCAGGAUGUCAAGGAAGCUGAAAGGCUGGACUUUCUCUAUCAAACACAGGUUUGACCUUGUAUAAAGACCAAAACACAGAGCGGCGUUGUCAGAAUUAUAUAGCAGUUGGCCAAAUGGUUAUUAUAAGAUACGCCACAGAACAAGAGGAAUCACCCUCAGCUUUGUCUCUUGCUCUGACAGAAUUGCUCAGCAGUGAAAAUCUGAACUGUCUGUCAUCUAAAACCAGGUUUAUAGUUUUAUUGACGCCUAAUCCAAAUCCCCUCAGCGACCUUUGACCUUGCCUAUUGGGAGGCGCUCCAGAUCACGGUGGAAGCUUGGCAAACAUGUUUAUUGGCUCCCCUGGGAAUGACACAAUCCCUGAGUAGAUAUUUAAAUGAUCCCCAACACUUGCUUCUGGUGCCCAGCCACAUCAUUUGCCUGUCAGAGAACAUAUAUUCCAAACGUUUGGGAAGAAGAACCUAGAUUCAGGAGCCAAACCACGGCAACACACACUUACAGUAUGCUCACACAGACACACACACACACACACACACACUCCUCAUGCACGCAGUAAUGACUUUCACGGCUGAGUGAUUGAUACGUUUUAAAAGCAACACGUCGUUCUUUGACCAUCCAAAGUGAAAUAACAGAAAAGACGGACAGAGGCGGUGAGACACAGAAAAGGUCAUCUCUCCCUCCCCAUCAGUCAGCUGUAAUUUGUAAUUACUUUGCUCAGAGCAACGGAAAAAAUAAACAUAAUUUAGAUUGUAUUUGAAUUGUAAAUGAACGAAGGACAGAAGGACAAAAUUACUCUCUAAUCAAUUUUUUGGCUCGUUAGCCUCGAAGCAGAGUCCUGUGACUAGAUCAGAAAUAAGCAGCGUAACUGCUGUAAUCACCAAUUUGGCAUGCUGGAGGAUAGACGACAUAUAUGAUGUCUUUUUAUUUUUCCCUCUUCAUGCGAACGGCUUCCAAUUCCAAAGGCACCCAGCUGAGACUAAUCCAUUGGCUGUCUCCUGUCUGCAGCGCAUGCCCCUUCCUGGGACAUGGCAGUAGACUCGGCACGAACAUCUGGGAUAGUUUCAUUUGAUAUUUUCCAUCUUAUCCAUUUGCUAAAUGAAUAUCCGAGCAGGUCUUUUCAGCUCAAUGACGGUGAUGCAGUGAGAGGAGGUUGACUUUCCCACAGGUUUCCAUUUACAUCAAUAAUUUUAAAAUAUUGUUUAUUUUAAACAAGGUCCAGAGUUCAGUACAUAAGGAUUUCAGACUGAACGCCUCUGGUCCACAUGUGUUUAAAAAGAUUCAUCCAAGCAUUUCUUUAAUAUUUCUAUGAACCAUGUCUGCUUUUCCUCUAUGGUGUUUUCAGCCAAUUCCUCCCCGUAGUUAUCGCCAAUGUCUCCUUUUAUAUAUCUAUAUUUAUAUUUUUUUAAUAAUGACAUGACAUCUGACAAUUUCAUUGCAGUGCACAAUGAAUACAGAGAGCAAGCUCAUGCACUUAUGAACAUCAUUUGUAACAAUCUGAGCAAAAAAGAUGAUAAUUUUCCCUUCCAGCAUACUCAGUGAUACUGACACAUGUCAGCCAUUAUAGUAAUAAUAAUAGUAAAUAAUGAGGUUUAUACCCAUCUGAGUAAAUCCUGUGAUUAACUUUAUCUAAUGCGACACUACAAAACAUUUGUCCUUCAUGUCAUUGAGUCCUAAAGUUCUACGCGUCAGUCCUUUCUAACUGCUGACCUCUCAAUAAUUGACCUGGUUUGAAGGACAAUGAUGUCCGAUGAUGGUUUCAACGGACUUCCUAAGGAUUCUUUGUGCAUGGCUGGCAAAUUUGACUUUUUCUUUCUGGCCUUUAUAGAUAACGGAUUUAAAAAAAAAACCUUGCCUCUAAUCCAAGUUGUAGGAACAUCCCAAGGGCUCCACUCGUCUUUAUAGACUAAAGAUGGAUGUGUAUCCUUUUUACAUUUUCCUCAUUGUGGAAAUGAGGAACCAUUUCCUCAAUGGUUCAGCCAUACCCAUCACCCUCGUAGACGAGAACAUUGGCAAGACAGGGGGAAAGGAAUCUGAUUUACUCAAUACUGCAUUGUAGGGACGCUGCCAGACUCAACCCGCUCAGGUAAACACAAUCAGUAGGAAUUUAAUCUCCCUAAACUAGGUGAUUUGCUAAAUUGUUCUACGGGGCGAGUGAGAUGAGGGAAUGAAUGAAUAAAGAGGUCAUACCAGGAUGCUCAGAAGGUUCCUUCAUCCUGCCGACGCACUCAGCGACCUUCACCCGUUCACCACAGCUAUUUGUCUACACGUCAGCCUCUAAGAGCCAGCUAUUACCAUAAUGAGUAGUGUGGUCUCGACCCGUUUGUGCAAAUAUUCGGAAACCCAUGGCCCGCCCCGCUUCAGGCCCGUAGCGUCCGCCCGUCUCCUCCUCAUCUCGGUCUGCGAGGCCUUGAAAUGACGGCUCCAGUGGCUAUUAGCCAUGAGAAGGGGGUGGAGAGGGGGGGGUUCCCUCACCGUCCUCGCCGCGAGCGCUUCGCCAAACCUGACCCUUCUCACCACCUGACCGUGGCCGCGGAAAGAAUAUAUCUUGGGGCAUGAAGAAAAACAGCGUCCCAAAAAAAACACCCCAAUAGAGGAAAUAGAAAUGCAGCUUUAAUCACAGCUGGUGUGUCAACAUGCAGUGGUCCACAGUUUGCUCCAGUAAGCUGCUUAAUGACAAACUGCAUUAUCCGGCUUAUUGUUACUCAUUCACCGCGCUCUGUUUUUCUAUUUCUUUACUAUUCUUAAUUCUGAUUGACGGCUAACAACUUUGCCAGAUAUUUCUUCCACCUUUCCCGCCUUCAGCUUCUCCAUCAAGCUUUGCUUGUGUUUUCUAAUUGUCCUCUGACUUGUGGAGUUUAUUUGUUUUCUGUCCCUGAACAGAAAGGCUAUGUUCCAACCUCUGCCUUCCUGGCCCUCAAUGUACAAUCAGAGUUAUUUGGUUUUUCACUUGCUGGGGGGGUGCAAUGCUUCAGCCUCAGCUUGCUGCCCAUACUGCGAUGUUGUCACUCCUUUCAGGCCUUGUUUUUAGCAAAUAUCUUGUAAUCACUUCUAUCUAUCUAGAGAAAUCAAUAGAUAUAGAGCAGUGAGGUAAUCUGCUCCUGCAGUAGGUCUGCCUCUGAGAAAUAUUUGUAGAGGUAAAAUCAGCUCUUUAACGCUAGUUAUAUCACAAUUUACUACGGUCGUGGUGAAUGUUUGUCUCUCCUAAUACAACAAUGGGAGACUAUGACUCUGAGCUUCUGGACCUGCAAGUCUGCCUUCACUUCCACCAGCACCACUCUGUGCAUGUGAAGGCUUCGCUGAGAGUCAGUAAGGACUUCCUCAGGCCAUGUGGAAUCCAAGCCUAUAGUUAGUGAUGCACACAUGUGAAUGCAUGUCAUCUAAUAACUGAGGCUGUAGGAAACUCUAGCACCCGACUGUGACAUACCAGCACCCGCCGUCAUUUCUGGAAAACUCUUUCCUCCAGUAGACAGAAGCUGAGAAGUGAGAGGAGCGAGCCCGCUGCUCGUCCGCAGUUUGCCAUCCGGGGCCGGUCUUGGCCGAGCGAGCCGUUUCAUGCAUUCAUGCAUUCUUCUUUGAGACCUUCAAAGAGGCAGAUAGAGAUCAAUGGCUUUUCUGACAGCAUCUCAAAGAUAAACAGAGAGAUAGAGCAGACCGACGCUGGCAGGCAGGUUGCUUUCAGUCUCAUUGAUUAGUCAAGCCUGGAGCCGGGGCAGUUAAAACUGAGAAGGAGGUUGGUUCUGUUCCACAGGACGGAGUGAGGAGCUUGCAUCCUUGCAAGAAUUUAACGCUAUUUCAUUUUUGUGCUACAAGAUUGUGCAAGGUUGUUAAUGUAUGGGCUGCGACAGUGUGCAGGCUUACCCUACCCAGCCAACCCUAACCCAACCCUCACCCUGACCCGACCCCCCCGUCUAGCUCAUCUGACUGGCUCAUGUCUACACGGCUGCAAAGUGAUCUGCUGACUCUUGACCUGGCCCUGGUCCGCUGGUGUUGAGAGAGCGUGUGCUUUUGGUCUGUGAAGAGAACGGGAGAGUGAUUUGUUCCUUGGGACGGCCCAACUGUCGCAUCAAUCAGUCUACAAGCGGGCAACACUUAUUUAUUUAUCUGCCCGACUGCUGCAGAGCUGUUUCCACUGCCGUCAGCAGCCGUCAGAGUUUACUGGCAGGGCAAUAAAAGCAUGUGAAACAAUUAGUCAAAGUCUGAACGUUGAAGUCCCCUUGUUGCAAAAAGCAGUCUGAUUGGGUAGAAGUCUAUGAGAACAUUACUCUCUCUAUGCCACUCCUCCUCACCCGCUUUGGUUCCCUGGUUGCAAAAAAGCCCAAACAUCAAACCCAAGGCUUCAAAAUGGCAGUCUCAAAAAAAAGAAGAAAAAAAAGUGACAUCCCGCUGACAUCCCAGGGUGCCAAACAACUUGCACUGCGUCUGACUAUUAAGUAAUCCUAGGCAUAACCUUCUCGUCUGCACUUGAACUUCCAGCAUACAGAUGUUGGUACAGAAGAUGCUAGCAGCUGGACUUAGCUAGAGCUAGCUUUGUGUUUUUAUUCAAGGAACCAAAAAAGAGCUUUCUCCCCAGCUUUCCAUACAACUAGAGAAAAAAACAUUUUGAUAAAUAAAUAAAUAGUUGAUGUUGAAAUUGAGUUGUAUCUCCCUUAAAGAGUUGCUUGACACAGACGACAAAGUAAAAAAGUUAAAGAGCAUUGCAUUAUCUAGCAGCUAACCCGGUCACUAUUUCAUAUUGCACUUCAAGUGUAUUUACGGCUAAGUGUAACACUGCUCACAAUCCUGCAGCAAGUGUAAAGUCUGGCCACCCCGCUCCAGGACACACACACACACACACACACACACACACACAAACAUCUGCACACUCUCUUCAGACUGGCAGUUUGUCCAAACACAGCAUCAAGAGGGGUAGGGAGCCAUAGAUCGAGCUCCUCCAGGCCUUUUAUAGCCCUCUGCACACGCGCCACUGCCCACCCACUGACGAUGAAGUGUCAAAGUGGGCGGCAUCACACACUGGGUCCCAUCAGGCCCAGAGAGGCACAUUAACUCUCCUGACCAGACUGUGUGGGGCUUGGCAGCCUGUGGCAGUCUGCCUAGGCACAGAGUUGGGAGUAGAAGACCUUAAUUGGACAAUACACAUGUGGUGGCGAGGGGUGGGUGGAGGGGGGCUUCACCGGCUGGAUUGUUGGCCGUUGGCCUCCGUCAGCCCCCGGUUUUCAUCGAGUGAUUUGAGCAUGAAUGGCCAGCCAGUGGUCAGCUACAUAUAGAGCUCUUUAAUAUAGUGUGCAGGCAGCCACAGAAAGGUCCAAAGCCUCAUCCUCACUGCUCUGCACCAGGCAGGAAGUUGCUGGUCCUCACAGAAGUAUCAAGGCGAGGUAAAGAUAUCAAUGACUUACUUGUUGCAGCUGUCACCAAUAACCCGAGGAUACGGUUUGCUUCCGGUGGAGAGUGAAAUGAAACUUUCCUGCGUGCAGACUGGGCAACAGAAACAGCUGGCAGCUCAACAGCAGGUCGGAGAGCUUGUCGUCAGCUGCCUAUUAUCAACAUAGGCGGCACUCAUAAAGGCCUAUAGGAAUCCAGAUGGUCUGUGUAUGUAACAAUACAUUCCUUUGGUUCCUGUCACGGUGUGGUUCACUUCCUGUUGUAUUUUGUAGUUUUCUGCCACUCGUGUCCCCGGGUAACUUCACUUCCUGUCUUGUCCCGUCAUCCCCUGUGAUCGUCUAAUAGUUUCCACCUGUGUCCAAUCACCUGCACCUCACUUUGCACGACUCUCCAAUUGCUGCAUACCGCCAGAUAUAACAAUUUAAGAGAUGGCUAAUCCGAGGGGCAGUACACAGUAAUUUGAUUACCUGGUACUGGAAAUCUGAGCAAUCGUGUGUGUACGAUGCUGACAAAUUGUAGUGGAAUCCGGCGAUAAUUAGAGCUCUGGUUGGAGGAACGCGGAGCGCCGUUAAGCUGUCAGCGGCUGCCAUCAAACACGGGGGGGAACACAGAGAAGAGCCUCACGUGUAAACACGCCGGCUAGUUGCCUCAGAUUCACACACACACACACACACAGGAGUAAACAGUCUUUAGAGAGCACUAUAUUCUUGUUUAAUCCCUCAUGGUUUGAUUACACUAGAGCGGGUUCUAUCUCUUGCACCCACACAACAUAUACACACAUACAUACACACAGAGUAAGCAAUGCUGGCUUGUCUUUUAGUUCUCCCUUGUGCUCUGCGCACACACUACGCAUUUUGCACCAUCUCACUGAUGGAUGGAGACGACACCUGAGGAGGAAGAUAAGCGGCAGAGGGUGCAAGCGGAGAUGUCGCUGCGGUUGAUGUUAUAUUAACCACCUUUCUCUACAAGCAAACAUUGUCAACUCUAGGUUUGGCGCACAGGUUGUCACGUUAGGCCACAUGGAUUAUGUAACCCUAACACAAAGCAGUUGUGUCACGGUGUGGUUUUAUUUCUUGUCUUAUUUUGUAGUUUUCUGCUUCUUGUCUCCCUGAGUAACUUCACUUCCUGCCUUGUCCUGUCAUCGUCUGUGAUUGUCUGAUUGUUUCCACCUGUGUCCAAUCACCUGCACCUCCCUAGUGUAUUUAAGCCGCGUGCGUCUCCUGUCACUUGUCGCGUCAUUUUUUGUCGUCCUGGAUGUUCCUCGUUCCUGUCUGCCUUUUUUUGCCCGUUGGCCUGUUACUUUGUUGGAGUUUUUGACUAUUAUAGUCUGCGUUUGAGUCCUGCAUCCCUGACCAGCUGAGCCACGCAGACCCAGAGGAGACCUGUACAAACCCAAACUGCUGUAAUAUCAUUACUGAAAUGAUGAUCCUCUAGUCAGCCUGAGAAAAAUGUAAUUAAUGAGGAAUUAAGAUCCAGUGUCUUUGUAAGAAAACAAACUAAUGUAAAGCAGUACAUUAAACAGGAAGGGUGCAUAAGCCCCGCCUGCUUCAACACGCCGCCAGUCAACAGGAUGAGCAGCCGACGCAGAAGACUCCCAUCUUGUCACGCAGACGCGCACACAAACACACAAACACUUGAUCACGGGUUGACGCUCUUCCUGCUAACGGCAGCUCAGCCCACCAUAAAUCAAAACAGAGCUGAGACGCCCGCCGGCUGCACUUUUUUCUUAGAAGCUUAUGCAAGACUGUGUGUAGUUUACAAGGCAGCGGAAAUGUGUUAGAGGUGUCCUUAACAAGGUGCCGCUACAGACUAUGUACUAUAUAUAUAUAUAUAUGUAUGUAUGUAAUAACACGUUAAUUGAUGAAAUAACGUGGCGGAGAUUAACGCAAUAAAAUACUUGAACACACAGUCAAAGCAAACUUGGUUUACUUUUGGUGUGCGUUGACCCCUGACCCCUCAAACUGUCACGUGUCUGUCAGUUCGAUCGGAGAGACCAAGACUUCCAUUGGAAGUAAAAACAGAGGUGCAACAAACUGCAGAGAAAUUUCUCCACGUGUCAAACAGAAAGGGGAUGAGAGGCGAACGGAUCACUUUAGGACUGAUAGUGCCCAGAGGAUGUUAGUAGCUACUUCCAUCUCAACAUCUACCCUGCACGGAACACAGUCUGCAGAGGACCACCACUGUGUCCCCAAAAUACAGUGGCUUGGCUAAAUGUGGGGAGAUUGUUGGCACUUGAAACACAGCCGUCAAAUGAUGGAGAGUAGAGAACACAGCAAAGUGCCCGAGGACCCAUUAGAGAGCUGGUUCAAGAUGUUCCACCCUGUGGAAUUCUGCUUUGGAGAUGAUCAAAUGUGUGGAGUUUUGUGUUACAUUGUAUUGUAACAUUAAAGGGUGUCGAAAAUGCACACUUCGUAGUGAUUAGUAGUUCAUUUAUAAGAUUUAGGGACAACUUCAAAAUGUGAGAUGAAUUAAUGAAUUAUUUUUUAUUUAUAUGGAUAGCAACAGAUGAUACCAAUUUGUGGUCAUCAGAUGAGCGAACAACAACCUCUCACUCUGCAGCCCACGGGGGGAGGCAGGUUAAAAGCUGUGCCUUAACACACAUCUGAAAGUAAUGAGGCUUAAGCUGGCUACUAACGAGCACUUGUCUGUUGUAUGGAAAGUGUUUAUAAGUUCCAAAGCCGCUGCUUUGGUUUGUAUUAUGAAGCUGUUAUUAUUAUGACUGUAGUGAUUAUGAGAUAUGGAAGCAGUCGUCCUGCAGCUGAGGAUGAGUUCCAUUAUAUCGUAUACGACACUUUAAUUGAAUGAUGUAUUGUACUGACUGGUUUUAAUGCACAUAGGUUUUUAUCGUUGGACCUUCUGUGACUCUUUCUGUGACAUUUGCUCUCAACGGAGAGGUGGUGAGAUAUCUUCCUGCCGGUUGAAGCAGAGUUUCUGACUGUGACCUUUUGAAGUUACAUACAGGUAUUAAACGUUUUGACGUGAGCCUCUGAAUUGGUCUUGUCUUUAUAUCAUAAUGCCUGUGAGCAGGAGUCCGUUGGGAAGAAGUGGACAGCUGUCUGGCUGUAGAAGCCAGCAGUGAUUUGGACAGGACUAGUUCUCGUCUGUGGGGAUUGAUGGUGGAUUGGGACGCUCCGGUAUUUUGGGGCGGAGCCAGUGUACAUUUUGAUAGAUCAAUGCGCACUACCAGCUAACUGUCGAAUUGAUCCACAUGCAAUAAUAGGCCAAUGGGCCAUUUGGUGCAGAAAUAUUUGUUUCUAAGAUAAUGAUAAAUCCUGGAUACUGUUAGAUAAACGUGUAGAGGAGAUUUAAAGGGGCAGUUUGGGGUUUUAGAAGUAGGCUUGUAUGUACUACAUAUCUGAAUUGGAGCUCCAGUUUGGACAAACGGGCAUUAGUUCCGACUCAAGACCAAAAGGGCAAAGCUCCUCUGCUGUGGACGGCACCUACAAGUCUAUGUAAUCUGUCUCUUUGAGUCGGCUAUAUUUUUAUAUGUAACUGAGCUGUAAGGGGAACUUCUAUUUACACUCCAAGACCGCAUAGUUAUCAAUCCCACUGCAUGUCUUGGCCAGCACAGAGGCAGAGACGAUGGAUUGGGGUUGAGAACUAACCUUCAGUAGUCGGGAACAAGAUAAGUCACCGGUACUGGAAAAUAAUGUCCAACACUCAAAUCAUAAUAACAGUAUGGAUAAGUUUCACUUGUAGAAUGACAAUAUAUUGUGAAUAUAGUAUGUACUUAAUCUUUGACAGACUUUUCCACAGCAUUACAUUGCUUUAUUCCCAUGCUGUGGUUACUUGUUUAAGUUGAGUAGGUUGAGGCAUGAGAAGUCAGACUGGUUAGUUUAGGAUGAGUAAGCCGAGCUGAGUCAGAGUCAUAAUGUAAUUCAAGUUGUUAAAGAGGUUCCUGUCCCCAUCAGUCAGAUUGGUUUGAUGCCUUCAGUAAAUAUGAAUUACGUUAUUAAAAUAGAUGAGCUCUACAGAGAGAGGAAUAGCCUGGGCACAAUUACAUGAAAACGUCAUUGUGUUCUGACCCCUGACCCCUCUCAAAACGUCUCAAUGGAAUGGUCAGCUUUGUUUCAUUUUCAACUGCACAGCUCACCCAAACGUAAGGACAACUCCACGUUGCCUCUCCUGCUUGUUGUUUUGAGCAAAGACUUCCAUUCAGCUCUUGAGGAUUUUAUUAACUCCAGCUGUGAAAUCCAAGAUUUCCAGAGGACACCAGUGUUUCACAGAGGGGAAACGUCAAGGUCCUAAAUGGGAUUGAUUGACGCCGACGGGAGUUAAAGUCUCUGGCCUUUGAGUUUUUGUCAAGUGUAAAAGUGCAGGAGAAGAAAGCUCUGACGGCAGAGACUAUAAAGUGAUGUAUCGUGAUGGAGAGGUGAGCUGGCUGUAGGAGCUGCUUAAAACGUGAUCCUCGAACUGCUCCCUGUACGGUAGAUCCUCUCUCUGUAAUUUGAAAACAUGUCACUGAUGAACUGGAGAGAUGUUCCAAGCAUCACGCCGCGUGCAAGCUGCGGUGAAAAUGGUGUACUGCCACCGCCAUGUCGUCCCUCAUUUCUCUUCUAUAUCAUUUCAUCCUCCUGUCAUAGAACAGGAAUGAAGUGUUUUUGUUUUUUUACUCCUCCGACACAAUGGGAUGGAAAUCUAAACGACUCUCGACACUCCCCAACAUUCUUGCUAUGAUUCUUGAUCCAAGUUCCGAGCCCAGAAGUAGCGCAUUACUUUCACCUGGAACACGAGCCGGGCGACUUUGCUAUCAAAAAGAGCUAGAUGGAGCGACACAAUAGGGAAAAUAUCAAAUGAUAGGGAGCUAUUGCAGUGGAAAGUGAGGGAGUUGGAAAAAGGUUCGGCGGGGAAAUAAGUGCUGAAAUACUUUAGAGAGUAACAAUACCAAAGGCAACAUACGUUUACCAAUGACUGAGUAAGUGGAUGUGGGAAUAAUCCAGAGAGACAAAGCAGAUAGAAGCCAUGAAUACAUGAUGGAGGAACUGUGAAUGUUGAGCUUUGUGUUACAGCCAUUUGGAAUGGUGUUAUCAAUUAUCACUACCACUCCAACUCCGUUAGUUUACACUCACUAGUUUCAUCUGAUUCAUCAGGAAAUGUAAGACAUGUUUUUCUGAAUGACAAUGUAAACUUUCGAUACUCCAGGUACAUUUUGCAACAAAUAUUUGUACUUUAAAGUGAUCACCGGCCUUGAUUUCACUGCCCUGGGACACUUGAGGUCAAAGUGGGCAGUAGGUUGCCCCUUACCUAAAGCAGAUGAGCCUAGUCUUUUCCUAGGUGAACUGAUCAUGGGGCGGCCCGGUGUGUUUGGGGUGAAUGUGUGUUGUUGGCAUGGGUGAUUGAGCGCAGAGAAGUGAAAGGUUGACUGAGGGGCCGGAAUCUAUCUGUAGAUUCUGAGCCAAGUUGAGGAUGAAAGUGAGUGCAUGUUUAUGUCGGCCCGGGUCCCGCUUGACGUACGGUAAUGGCACAUGCCUGAGCUCACAGAGCCGCCGCGCACGCCUCCAAAGGAUGCCGCACCUCUUUGUUGUGUGUGUGUGUCAGCGCGAGCGCGUGUUUGUUUUCCAUGUUGCCUGACGUGCGGUUGACUGAUAGCAUUCAGAGCGCUGACGGGUGCGUGACUAUCUAGGGGGGUCUAGAUUUAGUGUGUGUGUGUGUGUACGGAAGGUGUUUGACCCUCUCUUAUCUCCAGCACCCCAGUGUGUUUGUUUUCACAGCUACAACACAACCUCAGUGCUGACGUCAUGUGACCCUAGGUGGUAUCUUUCACAUAAACCAAACACACACACACACAAACACAUAGCGGUGCAGGUUACCAAGCAUCCUACCGCCUGGAACAGAUAAUAAACAAAUGACAUUAAUGGUUCCAUUCUAACUGAGGAAACAUGUUUUGUUUUCCAUCCAAACCGCAGAACACGAGCAUCACUAAAGUCAACUAGGUGGACACUACUUAUCUGUCAAUUAAAUCAACUCAUCGAUGAGUCGACACCAUAGUGUGGGUCCUCGUGGAGUGAGACUUCCUUUGGUCAAGACAGUCUUAUACUGGGGGGGGGGGGUCACCAAUAAAACAAGCUCUGUUGCGAUUGUUAUAACAGUACUUUAUUACAUAAACGGCUCUGUUUGAGUACUCAUGACAACGGUUCAAAACACAUAUCAAAAUGACCCCUGGUGUGUACAGGUGUACUCGGCCACCUUCUGCAGUGCAUUAUCAUCUCAUAAGUGGAGCCCUUAACAAGUGUGUCAACCCCCGGCUUCCAUCCCUCCCUCCCCAAAUGCCACCUCCACCUUCUGCCUCCACUCGGCUGGACAGCACUGCCUCUCCUCCACAUGUUUAGUGGUGGUUUAUCCGGAAACACAGGGAAACUUUGCUGCGCAGCUGUAACAGGAAUAGACACAGGAGCUUUCAUUUUAGUUGCGGUCUUUUCAUGUUUGUGCCAAAACAAGGAUGAUCAGACGUUACCUUCAGGUUGAAAUGCUCGGGUUGAGCUAUAUGUUGUUACACAUUUCAUAGUUUUUAAUUUAAGAUUUUAACAGCAGGGUUUCCUUUAGGUUUAGUUUGCCGUGGUGUGUUACAUGUCUUGCAUACUCCGUUUCGAUCUGGACUCGACAAGGUGGUCUUGACUGAACCGCCACUGAUGGCUUUGCAAUCUGGCUGCAAAAUAUUCUGAAAUAUUAAUCAAAGAGCUUUUCAGCAGAGGCAUCAUCACCGGCAGAUAUCAGAGCUUAAGAUGACCGGACAUUUGGAAGCGAGAGGGUUUUCUUCUUGAGCCCGCUCUGAGGUUCAACGGUGAGCUGUUUGGUCCCUGCGGACCCCGUGGGCAGCGACUCUCGUCGGAGGUUGGACCCUCGCCAAAUGGCGCUGGGGUUCGUGCGGCUCGGCAGGCAGCAGGAGUCGAGGAUGGACUCGCGCCAAUUUAUUCACGUGGUAUCCUGUUGUUUUAGGCCAGUCAUGAUAGCUCCUGGUGCGUGAUUGAAAACAUGCUGGAGCAGCUAUUCUGGGUCCGGGGGAGGCAGCGUGCCUAUUAAGGCAAUUGACUGUCAGAGGCAUUGAGGCAGUAUAAAAGAGAGUAGAGGAGGAAGCAGCGGCGUGUAAAGGAAUCAUGUCCCACUCAACUGAUUUCUCAGAAGAACUUAUUAGGCUGAGCUUUUAGUGUAAGUCAAACUCUGCUGCAAAGCCAGAAGGGGUGACACAGUAGGCCUCAUGAAGGGAGUAACGCUGAAGCUGAAACCCCAGGGUUUUUUGCUUUUGACUUUCCCCUUUUUAUUAGACAAUGCCGUGUUAAAAAGUUCCGGUUUGCCGUGACACUGCAAUGUCCCCCUCUGACUCCAGCACAUCCCUAACCUGAACCAGAUGGGACCCUUCGAUAUAAAACUUUAAAACUCACUCCCUUUUAUGUAAAAGAAGGGGGGAGGAAAGGGGCUGCUACAUCUAAUACUGUGUCCGGUUAAUUCAGUCCAAAUGCGGUAUGUCUCAUCUGUCUCUUACUAACCAACAAAGUGUUCGAUAGAAAAUAUGUAGUUUCCAAUAGCAUUGUACAGCUGUGGUCUUUGAACACAUCCUCACUCGCACAUUUCUAUCUGCACGCAUUAACUCUCUACUUUUUGUCUUGCUGAAACCAACUGAGAAAUUCCCAAAUAAAAAAGCCGCAAUAGGCUUGAUAUUCAUGAUGUCUAAAAGUUGUGGUUCUGAUGUUUGUGAAGGAUCCUGUCAGCCUCCUGCUCUCCACAUCAGUGAUGUGCAUUGGACACCAAUGCAGCCUCUGGUGGUUGUUCUGAAAAAGAACAGCCUCACAGGCCCACAGUUUUGUGGCCAGUAGUUGUAACUCUGUUGUAACUUUCCUCUCGCUUCACUAUUUCUACUUUGGUUCAAUCAAGAUCUUUCAUAUACUUUGACCAACCAUUAAGAAUAUAUCAACUUGUAGUUCUGAGCAUGCCUUUAUCCAAGCAUUCAGACAGUUGUGAUCUACUUGACCACCAAACACAUUCUGACCAACACAAUGAAGUCAGAGCAGCAGUGGUCCCCAACGUUUUUUGCCUCACGGACAAGUUUUGUGUCAUAUGUUCAUAUUUUGCUGACCGGCCUACAAGGAGUGGCGGAUAAACAAGACGACAUAAAAAGAUACAUUCAGCAUGAUAACACACAUAUAUAUAUAACGCAGAGUAGGCUUGGGGAUAUAAUUACCUUGCGCAUUAAACCCAUAUUUUUAGCUUUUCCCCUUUCCAGAGAGGCUAUCACAAGAUGGGUUUUUUUGCACUAACUUGUGGGCUUAUCUUGCAGUAGUUAUCGGGUGAUCGAUAUAAGUAUUUUGAAAUGUGUCAAGAGGGAUGCUCUUUCAGGGACAAGAUUUCGCAUCUACCAGGUGCGCUUCUUCUUCACCAGGUGAUCAGAUGGUUCACUAACACUGAGAUCUGUAGGUGUUAUCUGGUCUUCGUCUUUGGAACCGGUUUUCACUGAUGAAUCCUAUUAUAUCAUAUUGUAGUCUAAUAUAGUCUCAUAGUCUCAUCUAAUCAUAGACCCUUCUGUCACUUUUCUCUUUUCCCAAAAUGUACACAGUAUUUCUUGUGAGCGUGAAGUGACAGUGAGUCACUUUCCUUUUAGACUUUUUAGACUUCUGCCACCUCCUGAAGAGUAAAUGAUUCACCAUUCUGCAUACUGAACCAAAAUGGAUGUUUAAGAGGAUAUUUUCAUUCCCUGUUUCCAUUUUGGAAGAAUGGAGGGAGAGUUGGUGUGAGAGAGACCGAGUGCAGCCACUACAAAUAACGCUCAGCAGUAGAAACCAGUUGAGCAACUCGCGAUCUCCUACCGGAUUUACUUUUUUUUCCCUCCACUUCCUUCUCACAAAGACUUUCCAUCAGCUGUUUGCGCUGGAAUUCCAGGAUUUUUUCUUAAUUAAACCACUCAAACGUUUCAGGUUUUUUUUUUGGGGGGGGGGGGGUUCUUAAUUUUCCCCCCACCUCACAUUGCCACUGUUUCUCUCAUGAGAUGAAAAGAAAACUAAGACGAGAUAGGGAGAGGGGGGAGAGAGAUAGACACGCUCCGGUCUGAGCCAUCAGGGCCGUGGCGUUCUACCUUCCAGAGGAGUUCACGCCCCCUUGGUGCUUUUGGCUGACUUUGUGGUAGUUUGAAAGAGAGAAGGAAAGGGAGGGAGGAGUGCUGCUUGUGGGAGGAGAAGGAGGAGGGAGUGAACUGGAGGGAGGAGAAGCUCUCUCACUUUUUGCUCACUGUAGGCUACAGAAUAAGCUCAGUUGCUCUCCUCUCAAUCCGAGAGGAGACUGCUGUUUUUUCUUCUCCUUCUUGUUCCUGCCCCUCCUGUGCUAGACAUCAGACGGGGUCACCACAGAACUGUCUGCCCUUCCCUACUUUUCCGUACCC
Gasterosteus aculeatus aculeatus (three-spined stickleback) is the source of this 22350-nucleotide long non-coding RNA. NCBI's taxonomy places the organism in Eukaryota, Metazoa, Chordata, Actinopteri, Perciformes, Gasterosteidae. The record is from Ensembl.